GCCGACCCGCCGAGUGCCGCGGAGCGGUGGGAUGUAGUUUUUAAUGAAUACCUCUAAGUUCUUUCCCGCUCCCUUCCCUGGGUUCCCGUCUCGUUGAGUGCUCGGCGCGGUGUCCAGAUCCACCGUGGAGGGAAUGCAAUCUUUGUCUUUCCCACUCCGGAUUCUGGCUUAAAAGCGUUUAGAUCAGACACGCACUAAGUACGUUUAUUUCCUUUUAGGGUGUCAUCUUGGUGCUCAAUCUCGAACGUGUAAAUGCCUUCUUAAUUACAUCCGAGAAAAGGUGUCACCUUCCAUUCAUUCCUCCACCUGUGGCCGCCAGAUUUCCGCCCCUUCACAAACAGCUUUGCAAACGUAUGACUUCCCGAUUGGACUGCAGAGCCAGUGGACACUCUUCACAACUUGCAGCAUUCUUGACUCUAUGCUGAUUCUGAUGUAUUUAAGUCAUAUGCGUAAGACUGGAUAAGAGAACUUAGCUUUAUUGGUAUAACCUGAUGAGGUAGUGGACAAAUCACCAUGUAAACUUGUGUGAAAAAUGUUUUGUAAUUUUUAUUUACAAAUUCCAUACUACAAAUAAAUUUUCGUUGUUUUAAUAGGAUCCUGAUUGA
RNAcentral lists this long non-coding RNA (605 nucleotides) under Ursus maritimus (polar bear). Its description in RNAcentral is "lncRNA (ENSUMAG00000024030.1)". The record is from RNAcentral. Lineage: Eukaryota; Metazoa; Chordata; Mammalia; Carnivora; Ursidae.